AAAUGAAAAUCCAAUUCUCAUUUAAAGAUACAAAACUAUUUUGUUCUCAACUAAUUUGGGCUGAAAAGCAAUAACCUCAACCAUUGGGCUAUUUUGCAAAACACAAACUUUUGAGGUCCCUUUGUAAAAACACAAAAGUCCACUACUUCAUGUAAUUACAACUAGAACCCAAAAAUUUCAACAAAUGCAAAAACUUCAUUAAAGGAGCAAAACAAUUUGUCCUUUAGUGAUUUUGGGCCUUCACAUAAAAAUGUAAACUUUCGGGUCAAAGUACAAAUACACAAAAGUAUCAAAACUUUAUGUAAUUGCAUAAAAGCCCCAAAAGUACCCCUAUUUAAUAGGGUGGCCUAUUUUGGAUGAGAGAUGGUGUCAUAAAACUUUUGAAUUUUUCAACAAAAGUAAAAGGUGAUGGGUAGGUUUGAAAAGUGAUUUCCAUAAAACAUGGUUCCUUGAAACAAUGAAAAUGUGUAAGUGAUUGGUAUGGUGUUGAUUGAAAAAUGACAAAUCAUGUCAUACCAUUUAUUACAAUAAAGUCACACCAACCACCAUAAACAAAACUUCAUGAAAAACAUCAAACACUAUGAAUCAAAACACCAAACCUUUUUGUUCUUGGUUAGAACAUAACAAGAACAAUGAAGAACAUCCAUGAAAACCCAUAAGAGCUCCAUGAACAUUUUUCACCCAAAGACACCCCAAAAAUUCUCAAAUUUAAGGGAAAAAACAUAUUACCAUACUAGGGUACUUAGGGGUUCCUAAUGUCACUUUAAAACACUUUUAACAAGACAAACAUGAACCCAAAAAUCCACCCUUUGGAUUUAGCCGAAUUUCCCCAAAAACAUGGCACCAAAUUUUAGCUCCAAAAUUCAUGCUCAUAUGAACUACAUCUACAACAUUUAAGAUGGCAAAUUUUCUAACAAAAUUUACAUUCAAAGAAGCAAGAAUAAAGCUUGUAAAAAUUACAACAUUCAAAUAAAAAACUAUGAAAUACAUAACCCAAAAGGAUUCACCAACUACUAGACCUAGGCUCUUGAUACCACUUGAAGGAAAUUUUGUGAAAAAUAGGUUCAUUUGAGCAACAUCUAUGGCAUGCAAUUAACAAUUAAAGGUGGAAUCAUGCUUGUAUGCACUCAAAACAAAACAUUACCCAUGAAAUUCAAAGCCUAGUAGAAAGGUGAACCAAGACUCAACUCAGGAACAAAGUGAGUUGAGAAAUCUUAUACCUUUGUUGAUUCCUCUUUGCAUAAGCAAAGGCUAAUCACCCAAGGACAGGGCCUUCAUUCCUUGCUUCUUAGAUCCAUGGAUUUCUUGGAUGAGGAUGGUUGAAAGGAUUCUCCAAGUUCCCGAAGUUGAGAACCUCUAAUUUUCCACACUAAGGAGGGACAUGAAGAAGAGAUGAGUGACCUUGGAGGAGGAAAGCUUGCUAGCUAAUCUCCUCCAAGGGGCCGGCCUCCUAGAGAGAAAGGGAGAGACAUGUUCUCUCCAAUUUUCUCCAAAGGAAACCCUAAGGAUGAAAUGGCUAUAAAGUUGCCUUUAUACCACCUCACAAUGGAGUGGCAAACUUGCAAUAAAGCCAAGUUCACUACCCCUCUCUAUAUGGCCGGUUUUCCCAAGCCUUUGGGCAGUUUUAGGCUUCUUGAAUUUAUUUUGUUAAGUUGUCAUACAACUUAAGCUAAUGGGCUUGACGAUUCGAAGCCCAAUUUGGGCUUUAAGGCCCAAAACUAACUCAAGGUUUAAAACGAAAUUAUUCGUUUGAUUAAUUAACAUAUUAAUUAAUUCUUGCCAUAAACAAUUAAACCAUUUAAUUGUCCUUACUGAUCUCCGUUGUUUCUUCAAUCUCUACCUUACACGGUGUACGAUCCAUUAGGUUCCUUUUAGAGAGGCAAUGGACAAUUAGAACUCUUUCAAAUCGAUUGUGAAUUGAAACUUUCUUUCAAUUCUCCCUUUAGUGAUUAUACACGUUUAGGGCUCCACAAACCAUGAAUGACACCUAGCAACAUGUCAUGGUUACCCAAGCUAAUCAGAAGAGGUGGAGAACCUAUUCAAUUUUGGAUUACAAUGCAAUACGGUAUUUCUCUAAUACAGUACUCUUGACCACAUUGUUUGGUUUAAUAGUUUAUUCAUGUCUACUAUCCAAUGUGAUUCUCUUACUUAUAUGAUUACCUUGAAUGCGAUUUGGAACGACUUCCUAAAUCUUAUUCAUACUCUGCCCAGAGAUUUUUAAUCAUAUCAUAGAGUAUUCUCCCUCAAACAGUUUGAAGGUUAGAGAUCCCUUGCUGCGCAUUCACUUGCCUCCAUGGCUAAGUGGCUUAACCCCAACUAUGACGUGGACACCCUCUA
RNAcentral lists this long non-coding RNA (2337 nucleotides) under Malus domestica (apple). RNAcentral describes it as "long non-coding RNA (MDOM_LNC012718)". Lineage: Eukaryota; Viridiplantae; Streptophyta; Magnoliopsida; Rosales; Rosaceae. The record is from RNAcentral.